AUACGUAGGUGGCAAGCGUUAUCCGGAUUUACUAGGUGUAAAGGGCGUGUAGGCGGGUCUGCAAGUCAGAUGUGAAAUCUCCGGGCUUAACUCGGAAGUGUCAUCUGAAACUACGGAUCUUGAGUACUGGAGAGGAUAGUGGAAUUCCUAGUGUAGCGGUAAAAUGCGUAGAUAUUAGGAGGAACACCAGUGGCGAAGGCGGCUAUCUGGACAGUAACUGACGCUGAGGCGCGAAAGCGUGGGGAGCAAACAGGAUUAGAUCCCCUGGUAGUCCACGCCGUAAACGAUGAAUACUAGGUGUAGGAGGUAUCGACUCCUCCUGUGCCGCAGCUAACGCAAUAAGUAUUCCACCUGGGGAGUACGGCCGCAAGGUUGAAACUCAAAUGAAUUGACGGGG
This 397-nucleotide ribosomal RNA is filed under the name uncultured bacterium. RNAcentral's name for it is "partial 16S ribosomal RNA". It matches the Rfam family "Bacterial small subunit ribosomal RNA", at positions 523 to 918 of the family's 1533-position model. The record is from RNAcentral.